CGUCGCAGCAUGCCGAUAAUAGCAGCACGUCCGCGCCUGUUUCAAAGGGUUGCGGCUCGCACACCACUGCGCAUGUGUUCUGAGCGCACACGUUUCAGCAUGAAGCACGCAGAGUGCGAAGGUUAGGAACUUCUUGCAAUGCUUUGGCCAUAAGUGACAUCGCAGUGGACGAGGCACAUUAAACGCACAAGGACAAAGACAACACAAGCCUCACAACGCCCAGUUGCACACCUGAUUUGAAUGAUUGAUAGCAAUGAAGAACCCAUUGCUGAUGCCUUUAUU
Long non-coding RNA from Ornithodoros turicata, 282 nucleotides. RefSeq lists it as uncharacterized. The transcript has 3 exons. Lineage: Eukaryota; Metazoa; Arthropoda; Arachnida; Ixodida; Argasidae. The record is from RefSeq and is a predicted model, not a curated record.